This 110-nucleotide ribozyme is filed under the name Aedes aegypti (yellow fever mosquito). RNAcentral describes it as "drz-agam-1 ribozyme". It matches the Rfam family "drz-agam-1 ribozyme". Lineage: Eukaryota; Metazoa; Arthropoda; Insecta; Diptera; Culicidae. The record is from Rfam by way of RNAcentral.
UGCUCAGCAACUCCUAUCCCUACCUCCUCGUGGCCGGAGUGCGAGUAACCUUGGGGAAGAUCGGGUAUCCAACCCCGGUGGGAACUUUGGUCGUAUGCUAACAGAGCAGG